UUUUUUCUUUUUUUUUUUUUUGAGACAGAGUCUUGCUUUGUCAUCCAGGCUAGAGUACAGUGGUGUGAUCUCGGCUCACUGCAACGUGCUCCCCCCAGGUUCAAGCGAUUCUCCUGCUUCAGCCCCCCGAGUAGCUGGGAUAACAGGUGUGCGCCACCAUGCCUGGCUAAUUUUUGCAUUUUUAGUAGAGAUGGAGUUUCACCAUGCUAGCUGUGCUGGUUUUGAACUCCUGACAUCAGGUGAUCCUCCCGUCUCGGCCUUCCAAAGUUCUGGGAUUAUAGGCAUGUAUGUGUUCAUCCUUUUAAAUAUCUGCGGGUAGCACUUAACUUUAAAUGGGUACUAAUUAAACUAUUGAAUGACUUUAGUAUGGAUUGAAUGACUUUGCUCGGUCCUCAUUUUUAAUUUCCUUCAUUAGAGGAAAAAAAAAAUGCAGGUUGAAUAUCCCUCAUCCAAACUGCUUGGAACCAGAAGUGUCUCAGAUUUUUUUGCAUUUUUGGAUUUUUGAAUAUUUGUAUUAUACUUGCUGGUUGAGCAUCCUGAAUUCAAAAAUCCAGAAUCUGAGCUGCUCCAAUGAACAUUUCUUUGGGCGUCACGUCGGCACUCAAAAUCCACACUUGUGGAUUUCGGUGUUUCUGGUUAGGGAGACUCAUCCUAUAUGGGUGCUGGAUUGUCGCAGGAGUUCUGGACCAGAGGUUAAGUGACUAGGCUUUGGUAUCCGCUUUGUUCCUAACCAGGCUGUUUUCUUCCAUAAGCUCAGCUUUAGAUCCCCUGGUUGUCAAAGAAGGGGAUGGGCCAUCUGAUGUUUAAGGCCUCUGUUAGUUCUGACUUGGAGACACCUGGCUUCAGUUCAUCUUCCUUAGGAGUGGACAAAGAAUAUGGGAAUUUUGAAAUUGUUAGUCAACAUCUACAGGGUCGUUGCAGCCUGGUUUUAGGUAAAGGUCAUCUUUAGUGAGCCCAGGGAGAAGCACUGGUUUAGCUGUCAGCUGAGAGGGGUAAGCGGUCCUAUUAAUUUUUCUCUGUGUUAGUGAAAGCAUUGUUAAGGGUCACAGCAUUAGUGGAGCUGGCUGGAAAGAGGAGGGGAACUCACUGUUACAGGUUAUAUUGAAUGUCUUUUCAGUCACUAAAUGCUUUUUAUGAUAUGUUUUUCAGGAUUUCAGUGUUGUAUGAUUUCUCUGUAUUAAGCACAGGAAAUUUAACAUCAGCAAAAAAGAAUGCUCUUUAUU
This 1223-nucleotide long non-coding RNA is filed under the name Macaca fascicularis (crab-eating macaque). RNAcentral describes it as "lncRNA (ENSMFAG00000053381.1)". Lineage: Eukaryota; Metazoa; Chordata; Mammalia; Primates; Cercopithecidae. The record is from RNAcentral.